UGGGGUGGGGUGGGGUGGGGAGCAGAGAGAGGGUGUCACGGGGCCACAGGAGCCCUUCACGUCACAGACCUCUGAUCUUCACAUACUAGGUAAAUAUUAUAUACACAUAAACACAUUUUAAUAUAAUACAUGCAUAAAAAAAGAGAAAAUAGCAUGACCCAAUUUACAUACCACCAGAUUUUAAAUCUUUAUAUUUUGCUAAAGUUCUUUUAGGCUCACAGACCACUGCUUGGAAUCUGUGGGUAUUCUUACAAAGCGGAUCAUAGUGUGAUAUCCAUAUAUUUUCAAUUUACCUAAAGGUACUGUGUUAUGCAUCCCAUCCUUCCUUCACUCCUCAGUGCUGUUUGUAAGAUCCAUCCGUGUGGCCACCUAUAUACAACCAACCUUUGCUUCUAACUGCCACCUGCACUCUGGGGUGGGAUCGAACACUUCUACUGACCCCUUCUUCCAGGAAGGAACAUUGAUGCUGCCUCGAACCACCAUGGAUAUGAAUGAUGGCAUCUACAUAUGUCCUCUGAGAGGCCUGUGUGAGGGUUUCUUUGGGGUGUACCCCCAGAGCAGCAUUGACGGCCCCAGUGCCGAGUGACCCUGACUGGUUGCAUUGGGCCAUCUUCCACUGUGCGGUCAGGAGACCCCACUUCACCACGCUGGGCCUCAGCCAGCCUCCAAAUGACACUGGCCUCAGAUUUGGAAGACAGAAGCAAAGGAGAGUCACAAAAGCCAGUUUUGUCACCCUGAGUCCUGCUAACUAGCUGACAGCCUCUGGCACACGCUGAUCUGGGGAUGCAGAGGAGGCCACAGGAGUGCCCAGGAGCCUGAAGAUGGAACAGAGAAAAUGGAGAAACCAGAGUAUGCGGGGUAGAGCUUGAUCAAUAGUUAAGAUCCUGUUUUCUCAACUAUCAAUCUACCCCUCAUAAAAUCGGCGUCAUCAGUUAACACAAAACCCAGGGUGUGGCUUUCAGACCCAAAGUCCCUACUCUGAUCUGUGAGUAUCCACAUGAUUCGGCCCCUGCCUACUUCUAAUGACUUCAUCCCUUACCACAUCCCUGUGACUUGCUACACUUGACCCAUACAAACAGGUGCACUUCAAUCUUAGGAAGCUCACACCAGCAGUCCCUUGGUUUGGAAGAUUC
Prionailurus viverrinus (fishing cat) is the source of this 1133-nucleotide long non-coding RNA. RefSeq lists it as uncharacterized. NCBI's taxonomy places the organism in Eukaryota, Metazoa, Chordata, Mammalia, Carnivora, Felidae. The record is from RefSeq and is a predicted model, not a curated record. The transcript has 4 exons.